UCAGUUGGGUAUCCCACACUGAAUACAUAGGUGUGUGGAGGCGAACCCGGGGAACUGAAACAUCUAAGUACCCGGAGGAAAAGAAAUCAACCGAGAUUCCGAAAGUAGCGGCGAGCGAAAUCGGAUCAGCCCUUAAGCUUCGGUGUAGAUAGUGGAACGCUCUGGGAAGUGCGGCCAUAGCGGGUGAUAGCCCCGUACACGAAAUCUUAUCUGAAGUGAAAUCGAGUAGGGCGGGACACGUGAAAUCCUGUCUGAAUAUGGGGGGACCAUCCUCCAAGGCUAAAUACUCAUCAUCGACCGAUAGUGAACCAGUACCGUGAGGGAAAGGUGAA
Molecule: ribosomal RNA, 332 nt
Filed under: uncultured Symbiodinium
Lineage: Eukaryota; Dinophyceae; Suessiales; Symbiodiniaceae
Description: partial Bacterial large subunit ribosomal RNA
Rfam family: Bacterial large subunit ribosomal RNA
Source: RNAcentral